RNAcentral lists this ribosomal RNA (253 nucleotides) under uncultured prokaryote. Its description in RNAcentral is "partial 16S ribosomal RNA". It matches the Rfam family "Bacterial small subunit ribosomal RNA", at positions 525 to 777 of the family's 1533-position model. The record is from RNAcentral.
ACGAAGGGUGCAAGCGUUAAUCGGAAUUACUGGGCGUAAAGGGUGCGUAGGCGGUUCGUUAAGUCUGUCGUGAAAUCCCCGGGCUCAACCUGGGAAUGGCGAUGGAUACUGGCGAGCUAGAGUGUGUCAGAGGAUGGUGGAAUUCCACGUGUAGCGGUGAAAUGCGUAGAGAUGUGGAGGAACACCAAUGGCGAAGGCAGCCUUCUGGGCCAACACUGACGCUCAUGCACGAAAGCCAGGGGAGCAAACGGGA